Paramuricea clavata is the source of this 847-nucleotide non-coding RNA. The record is from the annotation of a GenBank genome assembly. Lineage: Eukaryota; Metazoa; Cnidaria; Anthozoa; Malacalcyonacea; Plexauridae.
AUUAAAUAUUUUUACUUUCGAUUGUGAUAGAUUAAUUGCAUUUAGAUAAUGUAACUUGAAAAGCUAUUUUUAGCUUCGAGGGCCACUUGCGUUUGGCGUUCUUAAAAACCGUAGUUUCAAUAGCCCAAAAAUAUUUUUCUACUAAAUUGAAGAAGAAACGUUGCUCUUUCGCAUGGAUAUGGCUUUAAACGUCAAAGCGGAGGCCCAAUGAACGAUUUUCCACUCUAAAUUUAGCCAUUUUUCGGUCUCGAAAAAUUCAAUCGGUAAAUUAAGUAAAAAAUAAAAAAUCGCUAACAUAUUUACUUUAAACUCAAAUUUGAUAAACGAACAAGGAAAUUGUAUAUUUGUAUAGAAAUACUUCCUCUUUGAAAUGGUUAAUAGAUGUUUGUGAUAAAUCUUUAUUUCAAUUUUUAAGCGAUUUGUAAAUGACCUGUGGUAUGUGUCCUGUAAAACUACAAUCAUGGAAAUAAUAUCCGUAGACUUUUUUAAAACGCAUCUUGUCUGACUAUUUUGUAAAGCCAUUUUAUUUUUAGUUAAUACAAACGUCCAUGAUCGCUAGAAAUAGUAACUCCCCCCUCCCCUACCACAAUGUUGGUUCAAACCAUGGUUAUUGGACCUCAAACCAACAUUGUAAACGGGGAGGGGGGGAAAUUGAGAAAUUUUUGAAAAGUCUACGAAUUAAUUUCCAUGAUUGUAGUCUGAGAGACGUGAAACUAAAAAAAUAGCUGCUUGCCUAAAAUAAAAAUCUGAUCGAACUUAAAUUUAUAUUUCUAGUAAUAGUUUACCUAGACCUAUAUUCUGACAAAGUUUGAAGAUUUUGAUUUUUUUCAUUUUGCAUACCUCCAGU